GAUGAACGCUGGCGGCGUGCCUAACACAUGCAAGUCGAACGAGAAUCCGGGGCAACCCGGUAGUAAAGUGGCGAACGGGUGAGGAAUACAUGGGUAACCUGCCCUUGAGAAUGGAAUAACCCGCGGAAAGGUGAGCUAAUACCAUAUACGCUUGUUUUCUCACGGGAUGGCAAGGAAAGCUGAACCGAGGGUUUGGCGCUCAAGGAUGGGCUCAUGUCCUAUCAGCUUGUUGGUAGGGUAACGGCCUACCAAGGCAACGACGGGUAGCUGGUCUGAGAGGAUGAUCAGCCACACUGGCACUGAGAUACGGGCCAGACUCCUACGGGAGGCAGCAGUGAGGAAUAUUGCGCAAUGGGCGAAAGCCUGACGCAGCGACGCCGCGUGGGGGAUGAAGGUUUUCGAAUUGUAAACCCCUUUCAGGAGGAAAGAGAAGGUGGGUUACCACCUAGACGGUACCUCCAGAAGAAGCCACGGCCAACUUCGUG
Molecule: ribosomal RNA, 485 nt
Filed under: uncultured bacterium
Lineage: Bacteria
Description: bacterial SSU rRNA
Rfam family: Bacterial small subunit ribosomal RNA
Source: RNAcentral